GGGGAAUAUUGGACAAUGGGCGAAAGCCUGAUCCAGCCAUGCCGCGUGUGUGAAGAAGGUCUUCGGAUUGUAAAGCACUUUAAGUUGGGAGGAAGGGCUGCAAGUUAAUACCUUGUAGUUUUGACGGUACCUGCAGAAGAAGCGCCGGCUAACUACGUGCCAGCAGCCGCGGUAAUACGUAGGGCGCAAGCGUUGUCCGGAAUUAUUGGGCGUAAAGAGCUCGUAGGCGGUUAGUCGCGUCUGCUGUGAAAACUCGAGGCUCAACCUCGGGCUUGCAGUGGGUACGGGCUGACUAGAGUGCGGUAGGGGUGACUGGAAUUCCUGGUGUAGCGGUGGAAUGCGCAGAUAUCAGGAGGAACACCGAUGGCGAAGGCAGGUCACUGGGCCGCAACUGACGCUGAGGAGCGAAAGCAUGGGGAGCGAACA
Molecule: ribosomal RNA, 426 nt
Filed under: uncultured Cellulomonadaceae bacterium
Lineage: Bacteria; Bacillati; Actinomycetota; Actinomycetes; Micrococcales; Cellulomonadaceae
Description: bacterial SSU rRNA
Rfam family: Bacterial small subunit ribosomal RNA
Source: RNAcentral